This 493-nucleotide ribosomal RNA is filed under the name uncultured bacterium. RNAcentral's name for it is "bacterial SSU rRNA". It matches the Rfam family "Bacterial small subunit ribosomal RNA", at positions 29 to 526 of the family's 1533-position model. The record is from RNAcentral.
AGUGAACGCUAGUGGCGUGCUUAACACAUGCAAGUCGAACGGACGAUAUUUGUGCUUGCACAAAUAAAGUUAGUGGCAAACGGGUGAGUAAUACAUGAGAAUUUUCCUUGCAGUACGGAAUAACUAUUGGAAACAGUAGCUAAUACCGUAUAUUGCCGAGAGGUGAAAGAUUUAUCGCUGCAAGAUAAGCCCAUGCAAGAUUAGCUUGUUGGUAAGGUAAUGGCUUACCAAGGCUACGAUCUUUAGCUGGUCUGAGAGGACGAUCAGCCACAUUGGGACUGAGACACGGCCCAGACUCCUACGGGAGGCAGCAGUGGGGAAUAUUGGACAAUGGGCGCAAGCCUGAUCCAGCCAUACCGCGUGUGUGAAGAAGGCCUUCGGGUUGUAAAGCACUUUAAGCAGGGAGAAAAAGUUAUAAGUUAAUACCUUAUAACCGUGAUGUUACCUGCAGAAUAAGCACCGGCUAAUUCCGUGCCAGCCGCCGCCGUAACAC